RNAcentral lists this ribosomal RNA (375 nucleotides) under uncultured organism. RNAcentral describes it as "partial 16S ribosomal RNA". It matches the Rfam family "Bacterial small subunit ribosomal RNA", at positions 527 to 897 of the family's 1533-position model. The record is from RNAcentral.
GUAGGUGGCAAGCGUUGUCCGGAAUUAUUGGGGCGUAAAGCGCGCGCAGGCGGUUCUUUAAGUCUGAUGUGAAAGCCCACGGGCUCAACCGUGGAGGGUCAUUGGAAACUGGAGAACUUGAGUACAGAAGAGGAAAGCGGAAUUCCACGUGUAGCGGUGAAAUGCGUAGAGAUGUGGAGGAACACCAGUGGCGAGGGCGGCUUUCUGGUCUGUAACUGACGCUGAGGCGCGAAAGCGUGGGGAGCAAACAGGAUUAGAUACCCUGGUAGUCCACGCCGUAAACGAUGAGUGCUAAGUGUUAGGGGGUUUCCGCCCCUUAGUGCUGCAGCUAACGCAUUAAGCACUCCGCCUGGGGAGUACGGCCGCAAAGGCUCG